This is a long non-coding RNA of Apis mellifera (honey bee), 3072 nucleotides long. RefSeq lists it as uncharacterized. The transcript is spliced from 2 exons. The record is from RefSeq and is a predicted model, not a curated record. Lineage: Eukaryota; Metazoa; Arthropoda; Insecta; Hymenoptera; Apidae.
UUAAUAAAUUCAUGGUGAUUUUUCGGCUUUAUUUGAAUAUUUUAAAAUCACCAUGAUUUUAACUCGAACAACCCCUUAAGCACGGGAGGGAAUAAUUCGUAGUGUGCUUGGAAAGGAAGUAGCGAGGGUCAGCCGUGUAGCUGACACAUCGAACGUAUUCCAACAACGAAAGUAUUCCAACAACGGCGGAAGCCGUCUAAUUCGAAUGCAAAGUUUUUACGGUGUUUUACAUUCCGUACGGGCGGGGAAAAUUCCGAGAAAAGUGGUAAGAAAAAGCGACAGAACAUUUGCAACUGAAAAAUACAUCGCGAUCCACCUGCGGCGACCGCAAGGCGCCAGUAGUAUGGGCACGCGAUGGUACGGCAGAAUGACGUCAUGGCCCAUGCCGAAUAUCGCCGAAGAGACACGAAGUUGCGCGAAAUGUACCGCCUCGUUCUCGAGCGCCGCUCAGUCUAUCGUCGACCACCGGUGAGGUUGUGACGUUUUCGUCGCAGUGUUUUUUUUUUCGUACAUCGCAUCGGGCUAACUAUUCUCCAACUCUCUCUGUCUAUCUUUCCCUCUUUUAGUGCCUCGUUUCUCACCCCUUCCUCCCCUCCCCCUCCCCCUCUUUGCGUUCUACACAUAUGAAAUAUCCCCGCCUCGAUGAGUCGUUCGCGUGAAAAUCGAACGGUAGUUCGUCGAUUGAUCGCUGCUCCGGCGUUCCGGUGCCGGUGAAAAACGGAACGUUUCCCCGUAAAUCGUAAAACGAACUGGUACGGUAAAACGGGCCGUCGCGUCGUCGAAAUUUCGAAAUCGAGAUCCGCUUGCGGUGCAACGACGAAAUCUCCCCGGCCGAAUUAGAAGAAGGAGAGUAUUGAUUGCACGCUUCUAAAUGAAUAACAAUCCCAGCGCGGUGGAGGUCGAGCUCGUGCCGCGACUACCGUUGCACGCUGAUCUUCGUGGCAGCUGACUAAAGAAGUCUUUCUUCGAAACGAUAAAAGCGAACAUCCUCGAUGAAUCGACGCUCUUUGAAAGUACGGAGAACAGAGACUCCUUUCUUCUAUAUAUAUAUAAAAUUAUGAUUCUAUAUAUAUAUCUCGAAAGAUACGUCGAGACUCUCUCUCAGCGGCGGUGAAAUGGCCCGUUUUUCGUGUGGCUUCGUUUCCAUAUUUUCGACCGAUUGAAACGAGCCCGGCCGACGUUCAAAGAGCCAAUUAACGACGCGCACGGGAGAAAUUACUAUGCUCGUUGGAGGCUGUAAUUAACGGUUACCGGUUGCGUCCAAUGAAACCGGGAAUUAGCAUUGCGCAAUCUGUGCGACACGUGCGAUGACGUUUCAUACGCAUAUUCCGAGGCUCGCCGUUUAUUAGAGUUCGAUGGCUGGCCGCGGAUAAAUAAUGGCGGAUGGGAGUGGCGGACGUUGGGAAAUUUAAUAUUCCGAACCGAGAGCGAGAAGACCGAGCCGUGACAGGCCGUGUCGUCUUAAAAUAUGGUCGAGCUCACUGGAGGAGGAGGAGGAGGAGAGAGAGAGAGAGAGAGAGGGAUCAGAGGGAUAAGUGUCAUUCAGGGUCAGCCACCCGGUCCCCGGGAUAAAGGAUCGAGUUUCUGGCUGUCAAAAGGGAUCGCGAAACCCUCGAAUAAUCUAUCCGUCCCUUUGCUCCCGCAUCUUGAUACUCGGUGAAUUAAUAACCUAUUGCCUCUCGAUAAGAGAUCAUCCCUCGAAACGUGAAAAAUUCAACGUCCAUACCUUUCGAAUAUUCUCCCAUCGGACGGUUUGUUACCACGGCGAGACGCGUGGUAAUGGAUCAUGGGAGAGAAGGGGGAAGAAGGAGAGAGAAAGUAGAAGAAAAUAUUAAAUUGGUAUUUCAGCGAGAAGUGCAUCAACGUCACGUUUUAAAGAUCGAAGACCACUUUUCUCGAGCUAUAUGAUGGAUAACCGUGAUCCGUAUGAAAUCGUAUGAACGGUAUCGAAGGCCGCUGCGCUUGCAGUUGCAAGGAAAUAUCGCGAUAUGUCGUCGUUGCGGGAAGAAAAUUCAUCGAUUCGAAAUAAAUCAUCGGAAGAGAUGGUUUACAACGAGUUUUCCACGUUUGUGUUCUCCAACCAGGCUGAUAGAUUAUCGGAAAAUCGAAUUGAAUUGACAAUAAUCUCGAAAAUAAAUACGAAUACUUUUCAAAGAUUGUUAAUAAUAAAAACUGUAAAGAAAAUUAUAAAUCCGUGCCAAUGUAAAAAUAUUGACGUUUCUUCGAGAAAUCUCGUAAAAUGGAAUCGGCAAGUAACUCGUCGAUCUACGUUCGAUUAUCGCCCUCCGUUUCGAAGAAAAUUGGAAUCCGUGUGGCGAGCCGGGAUUAAAAGUUGACCGAUCCGAGCUCGAAGGAGGCGACCAAGACUGGGCCGAACGAUGCUGGAGGAGAGGCGAGGAGAGCGUUAGCCGGCAAACCGCUCGGCUAAUCCCCUAAUUACUUCGACAUGGUUAGCGACCCUGUACUAACCACGUCGGUGCCUGGCUCCGUUCCCCGAUCGUUAAUUAAAAUGGCAUUUCCUUGCAGCCGCGGUAAUUUCCAGCCAACGCGCCGCGCAUAAGUCACGACGGUCAAUCGAGCUCGUCUCCGAACCGUUCUCGAUCCUUGCAAAAUUUAUCGCCCCCAAGAUUAAUUUCGUUCAUUCGACGUUUAGAGAGAGAAGGAGUGUGUACUUUUUUUCUUUUAAAAAUAUCGAUUCUUCCAAAUGGACGGUAAAUUUAAUUACUUAAACUGCGAUAAUCGUUUCCGUCGGUAAGUUGUGGACCAAUAUAUUUUUCUGGAAGCGCAAUUUUGGAAAACAUGGUUUCAAACGUCGCGAUCUCUCAAUCUCUAAGCUAGAAAAUGGCGAGCACUAAGUGGAAUCGAAUUUCCUCGGGGCGAGAAAACGGAGUAAGAGUAAGAUGGGGAUUGCAGUGUAGCAGUUUUAGGGAAACGAGGUCGAUUUCCAAGGAUUUCUCGCAACGCAAAAUUUCGUUACGCUUUUUCGCGGGGAAAUUGAAUUCCCUGGCUACGCGGUAAACUGUGUUUUCCGAAACAUUUAUACGAGAAAUAUACCCGAUUCAAUUUAUCCGC